This 18-nucleotide small nuclear RNA is filed under the name Arabidopsis thaliana (thale cress). Its description in RNAcentral is "snRNA_05127". The record is from RNAcentral. Lineage: Eukaryota; Viridiplantae; Streptophyta; Magnoliopsida; Brassicales; Brassicaceae.
GAAAUCUCGUGUGGAACA